RNAcentral lists this ribosomal RNA (953 nucleotides) under uncultured bacterium. RNAcentral describes it as "bacterial SSU rRNA". It matches the Rfam family "Bacterial small subunit ribosomal RNA", at positions 12 to 1012 of the family's 1533-position model. The record is from RNAcentral.
UUUGAUCCUGGCUCAGAGUGAACGCUGGCGGCAGGCCUAACACAUGCAAGUCGAACGCUCUAGCAAUUGGGAGUGGCAGACGGGUGAGUAACGCGUGGGAACCUUCCCUUUGGUUCAGGAUAGCCCCGGGAAACUGGGAUUAAUACUGGAUAAGAUCUACGGAUGAAAGAUUUAUCGCCGAAGGAUGGGCCCGCGUAAGAUUAGUUAGUUGGUGAGGUAAUGGCUCACCAAGACUUUGAUCUUUAGCUGGUCUGAGAGGAUGAUCAGCCACACUGGAACUGAGACACGGUCCAGACUCCUACGGGAGGCAGCAGUGAGGAAUAUUGGACAAUGGGCGCAAGCCUGAUCCAGCCAUGCCGCGUGAGUGAUGAAGGCCUUAGGGUUGUAAAACUCUUUUAGUAGGGAAAAUAAUGAUGGUACCUACAGAAAAAGCUCCGGCUAACUUCGUGCCAGCAGCCGCGGUAAUACGAAGGGAGCUAGCGUUACUCGGAAUAACUGGGCGUAAAGCGCAUGUAGGCGGAACUACAAGUCAGGGGUGAAAUCCCGGGGCUCAACCCCGGAAUUGCCUUUGAAACUGUAGUUCUUGAGUAUGACAGAGGAUGGUGGAAUUUCCAGUGUAGAGGUGAAAUUCGUAGAUAUUGGAAAGAACACCGGUGGCGAAGGCGACCAUCUGGGUCAUUACUGACGCUGAGAUGCGAAAGCGUGGGGAGCGAAUGGGAUUAGAUACCCCGGUAGUCCACGCCGUAAACGAUGAGUGCUAGUCGUUGGGGUUUUCCUCAGUGACACAGUUAACACGUUAAGCACUCCGCCUGGGGAGUACGGUCGCAAGAUUAAAACUCAAAGGAAUUGACGGGGACCCGCACAAGCGGUGGAGCAUGUGGUUUAAUUCGAUGCUACGCGAAAAACCUUACCAACCCUUUGACAUCCCUCUUACGGGCUUUGUAAUAGAAGCC